ACUGGGAAUUCAGGGGUGAACAGACAGUCCAAGUCCUUGUUUUUGAGGACCUGGAGACAAACAAAUGAAUAAAUAAAUUCUAGAACUUCAGGUAUGGACAUUCACUUGGCCAGAAGAUUGUACGACAUGGCUGCUCAAAGGAGUCCAGAUGCCCACAUACCUGUGCUCUUUGCCCUCAUGAAACUGGAAACUACGCAUUUGCUCCGGGAUAUCCUGUUUUUUAAUUUCACAACGAGAUGGAACUGGCUGAAAUCGGACAACACCGUUGGACCACACUGGGACUUAUUUGUCAUUAGCCUCAUUGUUGCUGGGCUGAUUUUGUUGCUUAGAAAUCACCAUGGGUAGGAUGCGGAUCACAGGAAAACCUGCUCACGGGAAUCAGUUCACUCCAAGGUAUCCCCACUAAAUAAAGAGUUUCCCAUCCAAAUCAAGAGUCUGCUGCAGUUUCCCUCUCAGGGCUGUGAUGGAAAACGGACAAGACCUGGGGACCAUCCUAGAGAAACAACUUCAGACUUCCUGCUUAGUUGAGAAAACCCUUUGGGGGAUGCUGGGAACUGGUCACCUAAGACCUUGUUACCAAUCU
Molecule: small RNA, 583 nt
Filed under: Pongo abelii (Sumatran orangutan)
Lineage: Eukaryota; Metazoa; Chordata; Mammalia; Primates; Hominidae
Description: processed transcript
Source: RNAcentral